This 3964-nucleotide long non-coding RNA is filed under the name Cucumis sativus (cucumber). RNAcentral describes it as "long non-coding RNA (CSAT_LNC002518)". Lineage: Eukaryota; Viridiplantae; Streptophyta; Magnoliopsida; Cucurbitales; Cucurbitaceae. The record is from RNAcentral.
GGUGAUUGGGCCAAUUCGUAAUCCUUCUUGAUCGAUGAUUUUGUAUGCUCCAAUUGUGAAAACUUUUUGACGAUGUAGGGUCCGUCCCAUUUAUAUGUGAAUUUAUUUCUCAUAUGUCUCGUCGUGAUGAUAGGUCUUCUUACUGCAAGCACUAACUCACCAAGAAGGACAUGGCGGAGCAUAAAGGGGAGAGUGACAGCAGCAAAAGUGAUCGUCAUUGGAAAAGACCUUUGAAGAAAGGGAAGACAUCAGGUGAUGAAUCUUGUGGAAGGGGCUCGAGUGCUAUGGGAAUUCCCGAUGUCCCACCAUUGCUUUGCAUCUUUUCCUUCUUUAAUACUUUUCUUUUACUGUUCAUCUUCUUCGUGAGCGAUUUAUCUAUUGCUUAUUUCUGCAAUCACCUUUGGACGAUCAUCUUGAAGGACUUAUAGAUAUAGAUAGUGAUGAAUCACUAACUGGUUCUCAUAUGACUGAUACGGCCAUUGAGAAAGUUGGUAUUUCGAAGACACCAGCUGCAAAACCAGCCGAGAUGAUUUGUUGAGACAAGAUGAAAGUGGAUGGCAAAGACAUCGAGAAUCCUCCCUUCAGAGGAGGUGCCUGUCCUACAGUGCCUUCAACGAAUGUUACAUCUAUGACUGAACUUAAAGUGAACCUUAAGCUGCCUAUAUACCAUUUUUAUAACAUAAGGAUCAAGUCAUAACGUAGUUCAAUGGUUUUUUUUCAUGUGACUGAACUUAAAGUGAACCUUAAGUUGCCUACGUACCCUUUUUAUAACAUAGGGAUCAAGUCAUAACGUAGUUCAAUGGUUUUUUUUUCAUGUGACUGAGACUGAACUUAAAGUGAACCUUAAGUUGCCUACGUACCCUUUUUAUAACAUAGGGAUCAAGUCAUAACGUAGUUCAAUAGUUUUUUUUUUUUUUCAUGUGACUGAACUUAAAGUGAACUUUAAGCUUCAUACGUACCCUUUUUAUCACAUAUGGAUCAAGUCAUAACGUAGUUCAAUAUUUUUUUUCAUGUGACUGAACUUAAAGUGAAUAUUAAGCUGCCUACGUACCCUUUUUAUAACAAAGGGAUCAAGUCAUAACGUAGUUCAAUGAUUUUUUUUCAUGUGACUGAACUUAAAGUGAAUCUUAAGUUGCCUACGUACCUUUUUUAUAACAUAGGAAUCAAGUCACAACUAGUAGUUUAAUGUUUUUUUUUACAAAACAAAAUUAAGCAUAAAACUUCUUGAGAAAUUUAUCGGUGAUUGGGCCAAUUCGUAAUCCUUCUUGAUCGAUGAUUUUGUAUGCUCCAAUUGUGAAAACUUUUUGACGAUGUAGGGUCCGUCCCAUUUAUAUGUGAAUUUAUUUCUCAUAUGUCUCGUCGUGAUGAUAGGUCUUCUUACUGCAAGCACUAACUCACCAAGAAGGACAUGGCGGAGCAUAAAGGGGAGAGUGACAGCAGCAAAAGUGAUCGUCAUUGGAAAAGACCUUUGAAGAAAGGGAAGACAUCAGGUGAUGAAUCUUGUGGAAGGGGCUCGAGUGCUAUGGGAAUUCCCGAUGUCCCACCAUUGCUUUGCAUCUUUUCCUUCUUUAAUACUUUUCUUUUACUGUUCAUCUUCUUCGUGAGCGAUUUAUCUAUUGCUUAUUUCUGCAAUCACCUUUGGACGAUCAUCUUGAAGGACUUAUAGAUAUAGAUAGUGAUGAAUCACUAACUGGUUCUCAUAUGACUGAUACGGCCAUUGAGAAAGUUGGUAUUUCGAAGACACCAGCUGCAAAACCAGCCGAGAUGAUUUGUUGAGACAAGAUGAAAGUGGAUGGCAAAGACAUCGAGAAUCCUCCCUUCAGAGGAGGUGCCUGUCCUACAGUGCCUUCAACGAAUGUUACAUCUAUGACUGAACUUAAAGUGAACCUUAAGCUGCCUAUAUACCAUUUUUAUAACAUAAGGAUCAAGUCAUAACGUAGUUCAAUGGUUUUUUUUCAUGUGACUGAACUUAAAGUGAACCUUAAGUUGCCUACGUACCCUUUUUAUAACAUAGGGAUCAAGUCAUAACGUAGUUCAAUGGUUUUUUUUUCAUGUGACUGAGACUGAACUUAAAGUGAACCUUAAGUUGCCUACGUACCCUUUUUAUAACAUAGGGAUCAAGUCAUAACGUAGUUCAAUAGUUUUUUUUUUUUUUCAUGUGACUGAACUUAAAGUGAACUUUAAGCUUCAUACGUACCCUUUUUAUCACAUAUGGAUCAAGUCAUAACGUAGUUCAAUAUUUUUUUUCAUGUGACUGAACUUAAAGUGAAUAUUAAGCUGCCUACGUACCCUUUUUAUAACAAAGGGAUCAAGUCAUAACGUAGUUCAAUGAUUUUUUUUCAUGUGACUGAACUUAAAGUGAAUCUUAAGUUGCCUACGUACCUUUUUUAUAACAUAGGAAUCAAGUCACAACGUAGUUUAAUGUUUUUUUUUACAAAACAAAAUUAAGCAUAAAACUUCUUGAGAAAUUUAUCGGUGAUUGGGCCAAUUCGUAAUCCUUCUUGAUCGAUGAUUUUGUAUGCUCCAAUUGUGAAAACUUUUUGACGAUGUAGGGUCCGUCCCAUUUAUAUGUGAAUUUAUUUCUCAUAUGUCUCGUCGUGAUGAUAGGUCUUCUUACUGGCAAGCACUAACUCACCAAGAAGGACAUGGCGGAGCAUAAAGGGGAGAGUGACAGCAGCAAAAGUGAUCGUCAUUGGAAAAGACCUUUGAAGAAAGGGAAGACAUCAGGUGAUGAAUCUUGUGGAAGGGGCUCGAGUGCUAUGGGAAUUCCCGAUGUCCCACCAUUGCUUUGCAUCUUUUCCUUCUUUAAUACUUUUCUUUUACUGUUCAUCUUUCUUCGUGAGCGAUUUAUCUAUUGCUUAUUUCUGCAAUCACCUUUGGACGAUCAUCUUGAAGGACUUAUAGAUAUAGAUAGUGAUGAAUCACUAACUGGUUCUCAUAUGACUGAUACGGCCAUUGAGAAAGUUGGUAUUUCGAAGACACCAGCUGCAAAACCAGCCGAGAUGAUUUGUUUGAGACAAGAUGAAAGUGGAUGGCAAAGACAUCGAGAAUCCUCCCUUCAGAGGAGGUGCCUGUCCUACAGUGCCUUCAACGAAUGUUACAUCUAUGACUGAACUUAAAGUGAACCUUAAGCUGCCUAUAUACCAUUUUUAUAACAUAAGGAUCAAGUCAUAACGUAGUUCAAUGGUUUUUUUUCAUGUGACUGAACUUAAAGUGAACCUUAAGUUGCCUACGUACCCUUUUUAUAACAUAGGGAUCAAGUCAUAACGUAGUUCAAUGGUUUUUUUUUCAUGUGACUGAGACUGAACUUAAAGUGAACCUUAAGUUGCCUACGUACCCUUUUUAUAACAUAGGGAUCAAGUCAUAACGUAGUUCAAUAGUUUUUUUUUUUUUCAUGUGACUGAACUUAAAGUGAACUUUAAGCUUCAUACGUACCCUUUUUAUCACAUAUGGAUCAAGUCAUAACGUAGUUCAAUAUUUUUUUUCAUGUGACUGAACUUAAAGUGAAUAUUAAGCUGCCUACGUACCCUUUUUAUAACAAAGGGAUCAAGUCAUAACGUAGUUCAAUGAUUUUUUUUCAUGUGACUGAACUUAAAGUGAAUCUUAAGUUGCCUACGUACCUUUUUUAUAACAUAGGAAUCAAGUCACAACGUAGUUUAAUGUUUUUUUUUACAAAACAAAAUUAAGCAUAAAACUUCUUGAGAAAUUUAUCGGUGAUUGGGCCAAUUCGUAAUCCUUCUUGAUCGAUGAUUUUGUAUGCUCCAAUUGUGAAAACUUUUUGACGAUGUAGGGUCCGUCCCAUUUAUAUGUGAAUUUAUUUCUCAUAUGUCUCGUCGUGAUGAUAGGUCUUCUUACUGCAAGCACUAACUCACCAAGAAGGACAUGGCGGAGCAUAAAGGGGAGAGUGACAGCAGCAAAAGUGAUCGUCAUUGGAAAAGACCUUUGAAGAAAGGGAAGACAUCAG